Molecule: long non-coding RNA, 469 nt
Organism: Canis lupus familiaris (dog)
Lineage: Eukaryota; Metazoa; Chordata; Mammalia; Carnivora; Canidae
Exons: 3
Source: RefSeq, a predicted model, not a curated record
GGCGGGCGAGGGCCGGGCCAAUGAGGACGCGGUGACCUCAUCAGAUCUGCGUGUCACCGCGUGCGCAGCGGGGAGGGGAGGGGGUGUCGCUUUUAUACGGAGCGGGGCCUCCUCGCCCGCUGCUCAGAGCUCGGGAGCAGCCGGCCCAGCGCGCCGCACGGCGGUGCACCCCGGCGCUCCUCUCUGCGCCCCGACGCCGUCUUUCGGAAGCGCAGCCCGAGGUUGGUCUCUCCGCAGCCCGAGGUCGGUCUCUCCGCAGCCCGAGGUCCGUCUUUCUGCAGCCCGAGCCCGAGGUCGGUCUCUCUGCAGCGCGAGGCCCGUCUCUCCGCAGCCUGAGGUCGGUCUCUGCAGCCCGAGGUCGGACUUUCUGCAGCCCGAGGCCCGUCUCUCCGCAGCCCGAGCCCGAGGCCGGUGUCUCUCUGUCCGCAGCCCGAUGUCUCUGCAGCCCAAGCCCCAUGUCCCCGCGGCC